This is a long non-coding RNA of Pipistrellus kuhlii (Kuhl's pipistrelle), 191 nucleotides long. RefSeq lists it as uncharacterized. The transcript is spliced from 3 exons. The record is from RefSeq and is a predicted model, not a curated record. NCBI's taxonomy places the organism in Eukaryota, Metazoa, Chordata, Mammalia, Chiroptera, Vespertilionidae.
UCUGAGUGAAAUAGAAGGAAUCCCCCCGAAAAUAAGGCCCCCCUAGGCUCUGUCUCAGAAUGAAAAUUAAUUUACCAUAAACUGGUCGCUAGGGCCGCCCCGGCUGGCCUCUAGCAACCAGUGACGUUACACUGAGUCCUGACGUCACUUCUGUAUGAAUGGAGAGAAACAUCAGUGAUGAGAAUCAUUGA